RNAcentral lists this long non-coding RNA (1387 nucleotides) under Capsella rubella. RNAcentral describes it as "long non-coding RNA (CRUB_LNC002525)". The record is from RNAcentral. Lineage: Eukaryota; Viridiplantae; Streptophyta; Magnoliopsida; Brassicales; Brassicaceae.
UUUUAAAGAUUAGAUUAGUUAAAAAAACCAAAAAGUUGUUUAGUGUUUCUAUCAAUAAUGAUAGUCUUGCAAUGUAACAAUGUUUACUUGAUAUUUGUUUAACAUGAUUUCGACUAAGUGAUCAUCAUCUUCACUUUUACUUGAGAGAUGAAACCAGAGAGAUCUCUUACAUAAGAGAAAGGUUUUGUGGUGAGUACUUUGUUUGAGUUCCAAGAGAUAUUGCAUACACCAGCUUUGUGAACUGCCAAAAACACUUUUCAAACCAAAGAUUCCAACAUAUUUCUCAUCACAAUUCCAAGAUCAAGUACUACUCAGUUCAAAGCUCUUGUCUUUUCUCUUUACUCUCCUCACACAUAAAUUUCUAGUUUAUUCUGGUUUACUCUCCUAAAAGACCUUCUAAGGUCCUUGUUAGUUGUUACUUACGUCUAAUACAAUCAAGAAGCAAAGAAAGCUUUUUCUGACAUAGUGAUAGAACUAAUGAAGCUAAGUUUCUAAGGUUUGGUAGUGAGUGGUAAGUAAAUUGUAUGAGUUCCAAGUAAUUUGGCACACACAAGCUUUUCGAACUACCAAAAAGCUAUUUCUCACAAUGAUACCACUUGGUUAAAUGCUCUUGUCUUUGCUCUCCUCAUCCACACAUAAAUUUCUAGUUUCUUCUGCUAUUAUCAUCCUAUCAUCUUUGAAAUCCUCAUAGCAAUAUUACGGUGAAAAAGGUCUUCUCCAAGACUCUUGUGCAAUCACAUCUCACAUGUCUCACUUCCUAAGUAGUUUAAGAGCUAUUGAUGCAGGAACCCUACGGAUAUUAUUGAUUCAAAUUAACACAUUUUAGGAAGAAACUUACACAUCAAGGAACAUCAGAUAAUCCUACUGAACACUUACUUGAUUUUUUUCGUAAAAAGAAUUUCACAGCUACACCAUCUUAGGAGCAUAGAUAUUUAGGUACUCAAGCAAAGAAAACCCUAAAAAGGUUACUUGUUACUUACGUCCUAUAUAAAUCAAGAACCAAAGACAAAACUAUCAAGACAAAGUUUCAAGGUUCUUUCAACUAAGAAAUAAAACUUUAAGCUAAAACAAAGAAACACGAAUAAGGCUUCAGAGGGACAAAAGCAAAAAAUUUCAGGAGAAUACUGGCAACAGAGACAAGAACAAGAACCCUAAUUGAAUCGGGUCAAGUCAUAAGCUGCAAAGCGGAUCCCUAAUGUUAAUAUAUGCACAGAAAAUUAUUAGACAGAUUCCCCAAUCUUUAUUACAGGGAUGUCCCAGUACUUGUGCAAUAUCAUUCAUAAGCCUUUUUGAUGAUACUCAAAAUCAAGAAAACGAAAUAAACAGAGAACUAUAAAGAAAAACACAUAACAGAGAAAGACAGAAACGGCGGAAGCAAGUGUUUGUG